RNAcentral lists this ribosomal RNA (139 nucleotides) under Clostridiaceae bacterium. RNAcentral's name for it is "partial 23S ribosomal RNA". It matches the Rfam family "Bacterial large subunit ribosomal RNA", at positions 2784 to 2925 of the family's 2925-position model. Lineage: Bacteria; Bacillati; Bacillota; Clostridia; Eubacteriales; Clostridiaceae. The record is from RNAcentral.
AGCGUGAAACUCACCCUAAGAUGAGAUAUCCCACCGCAAGGGUAAGACCCCAUGUAGACUACAUGGUUGAUAGGUCGGAGGUGUAAGCGUGGUAACACGUUGAGCUGACCGAUACUAAUAGGUCGAGGGCUUGACCAAA